This 73-nucleotide transfer RNA is filed under the name Oryctolagus cuniculus (rabbit). RNAcentral describes it as "tRNA-Gly (CCC) (tRNA-Gly-CCC-10-1, tRNA-Gly-CCC-10-2)". The record is from RNAcentral. Lineage: Eukaryota; Metazoa; Chordata; Mammalia; Lagomorpha; Leporidae.
GUUUCCGUGGUGUAGCGGUCAUCACGCUGGCCUCCCACGCGAGAGCUCCCCGGUGCGAAACCGGGCGGGAGCA